Non-coding RNA from Odobenus rosmarus divergens (Pacific walrus), 456 nucleotides. The record is from the annotation of a RefSeq genome assembly. NCBI's taxonomy places the organism in Eukaryota, Metazoa, Chordata, Mammalia, Carnivora, Odobenidae.
AUGGCCUGGACCGCUCUCCUGCUCCCCGUCCUCACUCUCUGCACAGGCUCCAUGGCCUCCAGUGGGCUGACUCAGUCUCCCUCGGUGUCAGUGUCCCUGGGACAGACGGCUACCAUCACCUGCUCUGGAGACACACUGAGUGAAUACUAUACACAAUGGUACCAGCAGAAGCCAGGCCAGGCCCCCGUGACAGUUAUCUAUGAGGAUAGCAAGCGGCCAUCAGGGAUCCCUGGCCGAUUCUCAGGCUCCAACUCGGGGAACACGGCCACCCUGACCAUCAGCAGGGCCCGGGCCGAGGACGAGGCUGACUAUUACUGUGCUGCAAGAGAAGAAACUAGUCACCUUGAUGUCACAGGAAUUGAGACUGUCGAAACACAGAGUGAAAUAGCUGGGAAAAUUAAAGAAAACCUCAAUGCAGGGAGGACAGCGUCACUCCACCUAAAGAUGUGUAAUUAG